UUGCACAAUUUUCACUUGAGUUUGAAACCGAAACUUUAAUGGCCUCGUCGUCGACACGAGGAGCAAGACCGAGCGCCAUCUGCAUCAGUACGUGUUUUGAAAUGUCGUUGCUGUUGGUCGUCGGGCUCGUCGGUUCGCAGUUUUCGUCUUUCAACUCUUCAAAACGGGCAAAAACGUGAAUAUUUAGAAUCUCAGUCGUCAGGCACUGCAUUAUGUACAACUGCUUGUGUUACAACUUCUGCACCAGCUCAGUCGGAAGAAACUACAAGCGAUGCGCAGGACUGCAAUUACGCUGCUUGCAGUUUGUCAUACAAAUGGAGGAGACUUGCAGGAUGCUUACGAAUCAUGCAGAACAAGGGCCAGCUACUGAAAAGAGGUAUGUGGCAUAUGAUUGUUGCAGGAAAACAUUUACGUGUACUUUUGCGAAAAGUUUUUCUACAGGUUUUCUCACUGAAACUGAAUUCCCAGUUUAUCGCUUCAAUAGGCACUACGUUUAUGUAAUUUUGUCCUCGGAUGAGGCAAGAAUGGAUCCAGUCUCAUCUGCCACGAAGUGUCCUUCAGAAUGAGAUGCGGAGAAAGGUCACUUGCGCCACUCUCACUGCACCGCCGAAUUUUAUGGCAAGUCGAGUCCUUUCCUUCCAGUUAUGCGGCUGUCAUAAUGAACGCCACUUUGCCAGUGCUUAAGUGUUUUCAGUAAGCAAAGUUGCAAAGCAAAGUUCAGUAAAGUCAGUUGUGACUUGGAUAGGUGAGCAUGCGGAUCUGGCUAGUUCUAGCCGAGGGUAUUAUAGCUGUUGGCAUUUCAGUAUGGUGAACCCCUUGGCUCGGCCUUACAUAUGCCGUGCUGUUCCGUGAAAGGUAGCCACUACUCAACGUGUUCUUUGUGUGGAUUAUGGCCGUCGCACAAGAGGAAGAUUUUGAAGUAGCCUGUGUGUAUGUUUCAUAUGAAAUCAGGUUAAAACUUGGGCAGGUUGGUGUGACAUACUAAAAGCGUAUGUUUCCUGGGCGCUGAGGAGCGCGACGUUGCGGGCAACGAGCACGAGCUGUGCAAUGACUGCGACGAGCUUUAUGUGUGGUCUCAUCUUGCAUCUGACCCAAUAUGCCAUUAAGCGAAACAGAAAACUUCGUGCCACUAUUAUGUUUGAAGUGGACACUGCGACAAAAAAGGCGGCUACGCCACGGCAAAGAACUUGCAUCAAAGAAAUCAAGAACCGAAGAUGCAUCUCGCCAUUAAAUCUAGAACUAGGGAACUGUGUGCGACUAAGUUAAGAGAUAAACAUUUUAAAGUGCAAUAUCAAGAGGUGCCGAAGAUGUGUUCCAAUAUCAUCCAGAUAAAUGUGUGUGACAGCGCGACUAAGUCAAGCCAAGACUGAAACAUUUUUAAGUGCAGUAUCAAGAGACGCCAAAUAAUCUGCAUCAAAACAAUCGGCAGCUGAAGAUGUGUCUCAACAUUAAAUCAAGAGAACCAGGCAACGGUGUGUGACUAAGUCAAGUCAAAGUGAAACAUUUUUAAGUACAAUAUAAAGAGUGAAAGUGUUUUCGUAUUGUGCAGCAUAAAAUAAAGAACUUUUGGAGUCUUGUUAUGUUAUGUUGCUUGCCUGUGCUGCAGAUAGGCACUGAUGUGCAAACAGA
Molecule: long non-coding RNA, 1629 nt
Organism: Ornithodoros turicata
Lineage: Eukaryota; Metazoa; Arthropoda; Arachnida; Ixodida; Argasidae
Exons: 3
Source: RefSeq, a predicted model, not a curated record